CCACGCUGGCUGGGCAUCCCUGCAACAUUUUGCCUCCUAAUUGUUCGCUUUCAUUUGCAGAUAAGGUCCUGUUGUGAGUGUGUGCAUAUUUGAGUGAAACCUCAACCCAAGUGAGAAGAAACCUUCAAGGAGCAACUACUGACAGUGAGUCUGCAGUCAUCUCUAUACAUAAUAUGGAAUGUUUUCGACCCAGAGAGAGCUAAGUGGAUGACUGUUGACAAGGAGUGAGUACCUGAGCCAAGACAACAUUUAUACCUUCCUGGUGGUUCAGAAACAAGUCUCUGUAGAACCACAAGCAAAGAAAGGAAACAUUCUGUCUUUUUCUUAAUUAAUUUGACUACAUAAGAUACUUGACUUCCAGGAACUAAAACACAAGGAAGUAUUAAAAUUAUUAUUUGGACAUCAUUGGACAUCCAUCAUACUGAGGAGUGUGCUUUGUGAAGCUUCCCAAGUAGAGAUUUGGAAAUUUCCUUGGUGCUCAUUUAUACUUUGGACUAUAAGCAUGAGUGAGUUCUGGUUGUGUUUCAACUGCUGUAUUGCAGAACAGCCUCAACCUCAUCAAAUCUAAUACCUUGGAGAAUCUAUUACAUGCUGGCUGGCUGGCUGAAUAACAUGCUGGAUGCACACAGGGAAGCCUCGUUGGACAGUCCAUGAUCACCAUGUUACCAGUCCUAAGUCUGUGUGCCAGAUGCUUCAAAAGUCCACAACUCAAACGUCAGAGGUUGAAGUAAGGAAAGUUUAUUGACCGAUGAGAUCCCAGCUGAGAAGAGGGGAGCCUAGUGGUAGCUCACAUUCAUCUUCAGACCGAGUUCAGGCUUCUUUUAUGUCAAGGGAAGGGGAAAUGGGAGGGCCUGUUUUUGGAAUUCCUCUAAUGAUUAACAUGUCUACAUGCAAGACAAAGCAGGCGCUGUUAGCCUGAAGGCCAUGGGACCUACACAGGCUUGAACAAGAUGGAGCCAGAGAGACUGCGAAUUUCCCUGUUACAGCCAGGUAUGAAGGAAGCUAAAAUAAAUGAACUGAGUAAAAGAACUUGGAGGAAAUACAUGCUAACGGGUUGGAAAAGAACUAAAAACAACAUGAAUAUUCCUCAGAUGAUUAAGAUAUUGGACUCAUUAAACAAAAACAAUGUGCAUGUAAAGGAAAGAGAAAGAACAAAUCAGGAGGACAGUGUUCAGAGAUGAUAGAAUAGCUGAAAUGAAGAAGUCCAGUAGAAGGGCUGGAAAGUAAAGAAAUCUUCCAGAAAGUGAAACAAAUUGAGAUAUAGAAAGUACAAGGGAGAAGUUAAAAAAAAAUUAGGUGAUCGAUCCAGGAGUUCAAAAUCUGCCCAAUUAGAAUUCCACAGAGGAGAGAACAGAGCAUUUGAGGAGAAUAAAUUAUCAAAGUAACAAUACAGGGACAACACAAGAGUUUCUUGGUUAAAGGCCUCUUGUUGAAUGAAA
This is a long non-coding RNA of Myotis lucifugus (little brown bat), 1439 nucleotides long. RefSeq lists it as uncharacterized. The record is from RefSeq and is a predicted model, not a curated record. The transcript has 4 exons. Lineage: Eukaryota; Metazoa; Chordata; Mammalia; Chiroptera; Vespertilionidae.